UACGGAGGAUCCGAGCGUUAUCCGGAUUUAUUGGGUUUAAAGGGUGCGUAGGCGGUUUGAUAAGUUAGAGGUGAAAUGUCGGGGCUCAACCCCGAAACUGCCUCUAAUACUGUUGGACUAGAGAAUAGUUGCGGUAGGCGGAAUGUAUGGUGUAGCGGUGAAAUGCUUAGAGAUCAUACAGAACGCCGAUUGCGAAGGCAGCUUACCAAACUAUAUCUGACGUUGAGGCACGAAAGCGUGGGUAGCAAACAGG
Molecule: ribosomal RNA, 253 nt
Filed under: uncultured bacterium
Lineage: Bacteria
Description: partial 16S ribosomal RNA
Rfam family: Bacterial small subunit ribosomal RNA
Source: RNAcentral